GCCUGGUUGGCUCAGUUGGUUAAGCAUUUGACUCUUGAUUUCGGUUCAGGUCAUGAUCUCAGGAUUGUGGGGUCCAGCCCCACAUCAGGCU
RNAcentral lists this transfer RNA (91 nucleotides) under Canis lupus familiaris (dog). It matches the Rfam family "tRNA". Rfam says of the family: Transfer RNA (tRNA) molecules are approximately 80 nucleotides in length. Their secondary structure includes four short double-helical elements and three loops (D, anti-codon, and T loops). Further hydrogen bonds mediate the characteristic L-shaped molecular structure. tRNAs have two regions of fundamental functional importance: the anti-codon, which is responsible for specific mRNA codon recognition, and the 3' end, to which the tRNAs corresponding amino acid is attached (by aminoacyl-tRNA synthetases). tRNAs cope with the degeneracy of the genetic code in two manners: having more than one tRNA (with a specific anti-codon) for a particular amino acid; and 'wobble' base-pairing, i.e. permitting non-standard base-pairing at the 3rd anti-codon position. Lineage: Eukaryota; Metazoa; Chordata; Mammalia; Carnivora; Canidae. The record is from Rfam by way of RNAcentral. RNAcentral also lists the same sequence under 1 other name.